GCCGGAGUGGCGGAAUUUGGUAGACGCAAGGGACUUAAAAUCCCUCGGUCGGUAACGACCGUGCCGGUUCAAGUCCGGCCUCCGGCACCA
RNAcentral lists this transfer RNA (90 nucleotides) under Nitrospira bacterium SG8_35_4. RNAcentral's name for it is "tRNA-Leu". It matches the Rfam family "tRNA". From Rfam's summary of the family: Transfer RNA (tRNA) molecules are approximately 80 nucleotides in length. Their secondary structure includes four short double-helical elements and three loops (D, anti-codon, and T loops). Lineage: Bacteria; Pseudomonadati; Nitrospirota; Nitrospiria. The record is from RNAcentral.